This is a non-coding RNA of Cyanistes caeruleus (blue tit), 2707 nucleotides long. The record is from RefSeq and is a predicted model, not a curated record. Lineage: Eukaryota; Metazoa; Chordata; Aves; Passeriformes; Paridae.
AGUUAAAUCCAUAAAAGCCAGAAAGGCAAAUAUUUGCUCUCUAGAUUUUUGCUAUUAAAUUCUUGUAGUGCUACUAUUAGAAGUCAGCUUGAAAGAUAUGGAUAGGGCUCUCUACUAAAACGUAAUAGCAGUGUGGUGGUUAAAUUGGAAGUUUCUGGCACACUAAUAACCAUCUGCCACUAAUACUUGCAUCCUCUUUUUAUGGCAUCCCACUUAUCAUUAAUCCUGUAUCUCUCCAUGGGCUCUCCUGGCAUAAUUCAGAGAAUAAGGUACAGGUUGUCCACUCACAUCAAAUUACUAUUUGGCAUGAGCUCAACUGAAAAAAAAAUACUUUAAAACCACAGAGGAGAAGGAGAUACUACUACGCAAGAAACAGGAGCCAAGUGACCUGGAAAACCUUUGAAUGUGGCCUAAACAAGGAGUAGUGUCUGGUUUUAUGUGCCUUUAAGCAAUCUACCCUGGAAAUUAACUGGGCUUAGAAGUUUCAACAUACACAGCAGACCUCAGUAACUUAGAGCAGUUUCUCUUUCUCCAACACCAACACAGAACCCAGAUAAGAACCUUUGGUUCUCUGUGUCAAGGGAUGAGGAGAGUUGGGAACCUUGAAAGAAGUUGAAAUAAUAGCACUCCCAUUCUGGGGCUGCCCACUCACAGGUAACCUACAGCCAAGCAGAUGCUGAGUAGCAGAUUUAAGAUUCCCUGUGUUCUGAGUAUUGAACAAACAUUAAAGGCUGAUGUAAAGGACAGUCUGUACCACAGCUAGUUCAGAAAAAAAUACUUUGUCCUUUGCCCACAGAUCAAUCUGCUGACUUUCCAUUCAAUAUCCACUUAAGAGUUCUCUGUCCUCUCUGCUUUUAUCAUAAAAAGAAAAUCUUAUCUAUGAAACUUAGGAUUCUGAUUCCUUUUUCCUCUUUUCUCAGUACUUUAUGUAUUAUUGAUGUUUCCUAGAAAAUUUCCAGUCAACUGCCCAUUUAAAAAUCAUAAAUCAACAAUUUCCUACAUUUUUAGUUCAACCAAAGGAUCACCAAGUAUGGGAAAGCAAACACAUGAGUAUUACAAGGGUGCCUCAUGAGAAAAAUCCCAGCAGGGUAAAGAUUUUUCCACCAAUGUUUAAGCCUUAAAUUAUUUUUAAGACUUUUAUAAGCCCCAUUGCAGUUCCCUACUAUUCCACACUGUUAAAAUUCAUCUUUCUCUCUUUUGUCUGUUAAGGACUUUAUUUCCGUCUCCACAGUUUACUUCCUUACAUCUAGCUUCCUUGGUUCACCACAGUCAAUUGAAUUCAGAGUAUGAGCCAAACCUGUAAGCACCACAUUAUCUUCCUUUUCUGAACCUACAAAUACUUACACAAAACCUCUGUAAUGUAGAGAAGUGACACAAUCUCUACUAAAGCCAGAUCUGCCUCACAUUAUAAACUGGGCCACUGCCGAAGUGUGGGAGCAGAACAGUGAGCGAGUCAGAGACCUGUCUGGGGCUUUUAUCCUUAAGGCAGGAUGCAACUCCUGCCAGGUCCUGAAAUCUCCCCCACUGGAAAACCUUGCACCCCCAAAAUAAAGACAGAGAAGGACAGUUUUCAAAUAAUUUAUUAGGAAUUUAAAACUGAAAUCUGGAAAAAGGGUUACAGGUGUGGAGAGAACAAACACUGGAGUGUAAUAACUUACUGGCUUAAAAACACAGCUUUAUUUCUUUUUAAAAAAAUGCCCACCCUGAAACCAGAGCCCCAGCCUCCAGGCAGUGGCCAGAGAGUGACUCACAGCCCAGCAGCAGCACAGCUGGCCCGGGAUGUCUGGAGGGGGCACGGAAGCAGCUCAGCGCAUACACCAAGAGGGAGGAAAGCGCUGUCUGCAGACCCAAAUUUGAAGUAUAUAGAAUAAAAAUAAACCCAAUAAAAUGCAGCUCUUCUUUAAUUAGGAAAUAUUUAAAAAAACAGACAUACAGACUCUUGUCUCAGUAACAAAAAUUAUUGCUUUGUGUUUUCAGUACUGAUCUGUUAAGUACCUUCUUACCUAAACAGAACUCUCCAAACGCAUCGCCCAGGUCAGGACAAGUUCCAGCAGAUGGGGGAGAAAUAGAAGAGAAAAAGGGCCCUGUGGGCACUGUGGCCCUCCCAGUCCUUUUCUAAAUGCCCAUCUCCUUUACAGGGGCUCAGUUUGGGGGAAGAGAGGGAAUGAUUUUUAAAACUUAAGAUGAAGCUGUUAUUUCCCUGGGAAAAGAGUUUGGCUGCAUCUUAAUAAAAGGCUUAAUCACCCCCCUUAACAAGGUCUUUGGUUCACUGAAAUCCAGACCCAAACCUGCCCCGUGUACUCCUGCUGGAGGCCUCCCCUGGCAGAGUGCUGGUUAGCAGGGGCUUGGACCAAACCAGGGGGAGCCCCAGCAGGUUCUGGAGAAGGGACCAGAUCACCCCGCACAGGACAACGGACAAAUUCCCACAGUCUUCAGAACACAGAGUAAAGCAAAUGGGAAGCUGCAAUUCUAUAAUUCAUAUAAUCCCUGAGAAGCCCUUAACCCGCCCCCAAAUCACCACCCUAAUGCUUUUCUCCCCUGUUAAUGAAUCCCCAUCCCAGAGCCCUGCCCUUCAGAGAAUGACUACCCAAAUCUCCCCCUGGCUGACACCCCUUCCGAUACCCUCGCCUCCGGAGGAGGAUCCCCUUUCCCAAGAAAUCUUGACGCAAGCGAUAAAGUUUGGAGAGUGAAUUCCUUUCAAAGUAAC